CCAGAACAUAUUGCAUCGAGAUAUUUGGAAACCGUAGUAAGUUAUCAUACUUGUUUGGUUGUAAAUAUUUCCAAAUUUAAGUAUAUUAUACCAUGGAAGAUAGUAUACGGUAUGGAAUUUUAGAUCGAAAUUAGAUUAUGGAUCCUGGCUGAGGAAAAGAUUGAUGAAGAGUGAUCGUCUGGGAUGAGUUCGGAUUUUUUUAAACAUUUGGGGAAAAAAAGAAAAUUCGAUAGAGAGAACUAUAAGUAUACACGCAUAGAGAACAAUUACGAAGAAAUCUAUGGUCAAGAUGCAACAGAAGACGAAAUCUUUUCCUCGGAGGUCUAUCCCCUCAAAGAAAGGAAAAAUGAACAUUUUCUGCCCAAAUCAAAGUCUAUGCACUACGUGGAGCAUCAAAUAAAGGAUGGGGAUUCGCUACAAAAAUUAUCGCUCAUCUAUCGCUGCCCAGUAGGUAUUUUCGGUUAAUUGUAUUUUGCUUAAAUUCAGAAACAAUAAGAGCAUAGAAACCCUG
This 511-nucleotide long non-coding RNA is filed under the name Androctonus crassicauda. Lineage: Eukaryota; Metazoa; Arthropoda; Arachnida; Scorpiones; Buthidae. The record is from RNAcentral.